This 309-nucleotide long non-coding RNA is filed under the name Felis catus (domestic cat). Its description in RNAcentral is "lncRNA (ENSFCAG00000047197.1)". The record is from RNAcentral. Lineage: Eukaryota; Metazoa; Chordata; Mammalia; Carnivora; Felidae.
AUUUCAUGUCACCUUAAAGAAGCAGGUAUUCAGCCCUACUUACAGCAAGUGUACAAUAGAUUUUCAUGGUUCAAGUUUGCUUCUGCAUAUUGUUACUUUUUUUCUGAGUUGUUUAUAUUGUUUUAAUAUAUUGAAUAAAGAGUGAUGGGCAAGACACAAUUAAAUUACCAGAUUGAAACUAUUUGAAACCAUUUUUUGACUAGCCAUCUCAGGAUGCAUCAGCUGAUUUGGAAAAUGCUUCUUUCUGGUGGCUCACAUAUCAAGAAGGUACUGUUGACUUUCUGGGAUGAAGAACAUCAAUAACCAUCU